Molecule: ribosomal RNA, 484 nt
Filed under: uncultured bacterium
Lineage: Bacteria
Description: partial 16S ribosomal RNA
Rfam family: Bacterial small subunit ribosomal RNA
Source: RNAcentral
AUUGAACGCUGGCGGCAUGCUUUACACAUGCAAGUCGAACGGAAGCGCGGGCUUCGGCCUGGCGGCGAGUGGCGAACGGGUGAGUAAUAAAUCGGAACGUGCCCAGUAGAGGGGGAUAGCUCGGCGAAAGCAGGAUUAAUACCGCAUACGACCUGAGGGUGAAAGCGGGGGAUCUUAGGACCUCGCGCUAUUGGAGCGGCCGAUGGCAGAUUAGCUAGUUGGUGGGGUAAAGGCCUACCAAGGCGACGAUCUGUAGCUGGUCUGAGAGGACGACCGGCCACACUGGGACUGAGACACGGCCCAGACUCCUACGGGAGGCAGCAGUGGGGAAUUUUGCGCAAUGGGCGAAAGCCUGAUCCAGCAAUGCCGCGUGUGUGAUGAAGGCCUUCGGGUUGUAAAGCACUUUUGGCGGGAACGAAAAGGACUGUGCCAAUACCACGGUUCGAUGACGGUACCCGCAGAAUAAGCACCGGCUAACUACGUG